This 201-nucleotide ribosomal RNA is filed under the name uncultured bacterium. RNAcentral's name for it is "partial 16S ribosomal RNA". It matches the Rfam family "Bacterial small subunit ribosomal RNA", at positions 326 to 538 of the family's 1533-position model. The record is from RNAcentral.
ACGCUCGACACCUACGGAGGCGAGCAGUUGGGAAUAUUGGACAAUGGAGGAAACUCUGAUCCAGUGACGCCGCGUGAAGGAAGAAGGUCUUCGGAUUGUAAACUUAUUUUGUCAGGGAAGAAAAAAUGACUGUACCUGAAGAAAAAGCACCGGCUAACUACGUUCCAGCAGCCGCGGUAAUCUGAGCGGGCGUGGCAAGGC